CGGCUACCGAAAGCGAAACCUUUGACUUGGGAGGCCUGCCUUCCACUACCAUCUCCCAGGUGAUCCGUGAUACUUUCUCCCAAGAUUUUGACUUGGGCGGUGCGGGGAUGAUUCGUAUCACGUUGGUAGUGGGAGCAGGGAAAGGAGAUCGGUCAA
Molecule: non-coding RNA, 156 nt
Filed under: Pseudo-nitzschia pungens
Lineage: Eukaryota; Bacillariophyta; Bacillariophyceae; Bacillariales; Bacillariaceae
Source: RNAcentral